RNAcentral lists this unclassified non-coding RNA (354 nucleotides) under soil metagenome. Its description in RNAcentral is "partial contains 5.8S ribosomal RNA, internal transcribed spacer 2, and large subunit ribosomal RNA". The stretch from base 1 to 120 matches the Rfam family "5.8S ribosomal RNA", at positions 35 to 154 of the family's 154-position model. The record is from RNAcentral.
GAUGAAGAACGCAGCGAAAUGCGUUAAGUAGUGUGAAUUGCAGAAUUCAGUGAAUCAUCGAAUCUUUGAACGCACAUUGCGCCUCCUGGUAUUCCGGGAGGCAUGCCUGUUCGAGCGUCAUUAAAAUCACUCAAGCUUAGGUUUACCUAUUGCUUGGUCUUGGAGAUGGAAGCCAAUUUAUUGGAAUCCUCUUCGAAAUUCAAUGGCGAAGACCCUUGCUCUCCCAAGUGUAGUAAUAACUUAUGUCACUGAAGGAAGCGAGAAAUCUUCUGCCGUAACCCCCAUAUUUUCUAUGAUUGACCUCGGAUCAGGUAGGGAUACCCGCUGAACUUAAGCAUAUCAAUAAGCGGAGGA